CCGGAGGCCCGAACUGCUGAGUUCCCACCCAACCGAACGGACACAGAAAGAAUCUGCCCGGCCCGGCCCCGCCCCCGGCCCCUGGAUUCCUCUGGGGGCUGGGCGGGAGGCUGCGGCCGAAAGGCGAAAGAGAGGCUCUUGGCCGCCUCUCCCCUCCUCGCCGUGCUCAGCCAGGUUGUAGAGUACUUGUGGAUUGUGGGACGUCCAGGCUGGUCCGGGUUAAGGCCGUAAGGGGUGCCCCCAGCCAGGGACUUUUAACCCUGUCUUCGUCCCUCUUAAGUCCUCCAAGUGAGACGGUCCUCGGGGCUCUGCUGAUUGCUGAGGUUCCGAGAUGCAGGGGUUUGGUUGGGCCUGGCAGAUAGCAGCUCCUGUUGCAAGAGCUCCUCGCACCCCUUUCCUGUAUCUGUCAGCUAACGGGGUUAGCCAGUUCCUUCACUGGUGAACGUCAGCGCCUGCUUACCCAGACCGCGGUGGUCAGUCGCUAAGGGUGGCCUGUUGAUGGCACUGAGAGAUGCUAUAAACACCAGAACAAAUUUAACACUGGCCAGAACAAGAGCUCUAAGAAGCUGGGAAGAUGGGCCCCAGAGUACAGGGGAGAACAAUUCUGCAGGAACUGUUUUAGUUUCUGUCUUCCUGGAUUCAGGGGGUCUUGCCCAGCAAGUCCCAGAGUGACCUGGUCACACAGGACCACUAGCCCUGCUCAGCUCCUGGCAGCCUCUCAGUCUAAACUGCACCCUCUUCAGGCCACACAUCAACUCUCCAUGUGUAUCUACCCAGCUGUGGUGCUGAUUUUAAUCCUGAAAGAUAUGUUCCAAAUACCAUAAUCCUGACACUGGAAAUCCUGAAAGAUCAAAAUCCCUAAACCUUAAAAUCCAGGAAAAAUCACAAUCUCAAAAUACUAAAAAUCCCAGAUGUUGAAGUCGUGAAAGCCAGAAUCCUGAAAACUGCAAUUCUAACUGAAAAACAAGGAAGGCUACAUAAGAGGGACAGAAAGCCAAACUCUGGGGAAAGGAUUAGUGCAUUUUGGGUUAUACACAGACUUGUUGCAUCUUAUGAGGUGGAUGAGACACCUAGAAACCUGGUCAAGCUUUUUUUGAGUGUCUGUGAGGAAGAUCCACACUCACUGUGGGCAGCACCAUCCAAUCUGCUGACCAAGCAGCACAAAUACACAGGCUAAUGGGUCUAAGAGUUGGCACAGAGCAUUCUUCAACCGCCUUGGACAUCAGAAUGCCAGGCUCACUUGCUGUUGGACUCCAGGACUUAGAUCAGCAAUCUCUAGAUCCCCAGACUUUUUUAUUCUAUUCCACUAUUCUAAAUUGUCAGCAUUAUUUUUUUUAUAUAUAAUUUGCUCUGCUAUGUAUUUCAUUGUUGCAUCAUUUCUAAUCCCGGAAGUAUAAAUUGUGUAGAGACUUUUAGUGAGCUCUAAUUCAUUUCAUGCCUUUUCUUUUUGGUAAAUUUGACUCAGUGAAAGUGCAGUUUCACAACAUUGACUUUGUGUGUAAGCAUUGUGCAUGCACGUAGAAUGUUGAAACUUAGUCGAUAAAUGAAAGGAUGUCCUUUACGUACAUCUACAUCAGAAGGUAAGAUUUCUUUUUUUUCUUUUUCUUUUUUUUUUUAGUGGAGAGUCUGAAUGAGAAAAGUAAGGCCUAUUUAUUUUCUAUCCACUCCAACGGCUCAAAUUCCUGGCGAAUCUGCCGCAGCUCUCACCGGAAGUCAAGAUAAAAUUUCUUAAAGUCUCAUCUCUGGUUGGUGGUUACCCAUUGUGGGUUUUGAUUGGUUGGUUUUUACAAUGCUGGUGACAGAAGCUAGGGCCUGACAUAUCCUAAGCAAGCAGUCUGUCAACUCAGCUAUACCUUGACCCCCAUCGUGGUUUUGGAUUGAUCUUGUCAAAAGAUUUAGGUCAUCUAUCAGAGUCUUCCAGAUAAUCACAGUUAUAAAUCUUGGUGCACAUAAAUUACCAACCAUACUUAUAUGUGUUUAUAAAUUUUGUUUCUUGACCUAUUUCUUAAUGAAUAUAGUUCAUCUGUUUAUAACCAUUAUAUCCAUACAACUGUUAUUUGUAUACUUUAGUGUUUAUGCUUGCAAAAAAUACAGUACAUUGAUAUUGUCUGUUGUAUUGUGUGAAGUGGCC
RNAcentral lists this long non-coding RNA (2131 nucleotides) under Heterocephalus glaber (naked mole-rat). RNAcentral describes it as "lncRNA (ENSHGLG00000034064.1)". The record is from RNAcentral. Lineage: Eukaryota; Metazoa; Chordata; Mammalia; Rodentia; Bathyergidae.